CCUACGGGAGGCAGCAGUGAGGAAUAUUGGUCAAUGGACGCGACUCUGAACCAGCCAAGUAGCGUGCAGGAUGACUGCCCUAUGGGUUGUAAACUUCUUUUAUACAGGAAUAAACUGAGUCACGUGUGGCUUAUUGCAUGUACCGUAUGAAUAAGGAUCGGCUAAUUCCGUGCCAGCAGCCGCGGUAAUACGGAAGAUCCGAGCGUUAUCCGGAUUUAUUGGGUUUAAAGGGAGCGUAGGUCGGCUGUUAAGUGAGUUGUGAAAGUUUGCGGCUCAACCGUAAAAUUGCAAUUGAUACUGGCAGUCUUGAGUGCGGUUGAGGUAGGCGGAAUUCGUGGUGUAGCGGUGAAAUGCUUAGAUAUCACGAAGAACUCCGAUUGCGAAGGCAGCUUACUAUACUGCCACUGACGUUGAUGCUCGAAGGUGUGGGUAUCAAACAGGAUUAGAUACCCGAGUAGUC
RNAcentral lists this ribosomal RNA (460 nucleotides) under uncultured bacterium. RNAcentral's name for it is "partial 16S ribosomal RNA". It matches the Rfam family "Bacterial small subunit ribosomal RNA", at positions 338 to 795 of the family's 1533-position model. The record is from RNAcentral.